UCAAGGUAUGGAAGCUUAAUAUCAUUUGGUUAGUGAAUUCAGUAUUAUGGAAUAAACUUGUUUCUGUAAUUUAAUGCAUCACACCAAUGGGAAGGCGGAUCCUGAAGUCAGCCCUUGGAAUUUGUACAGCAGUCAAGGGUUUAGUUUCCUGAUCAGAUAGGAAGAGGGCAAUUAUUGGGGAUUUGGUGACUUAUGUGCUUCAAUUUUCUCCCUAGCUAAUUAAGAUGGUCAGUAUUGCUGCCAGUGGACACUUAUGAUGCGAAUGUCAGAAAAAUCCUCAAUCAUGGCAGGCAAUUUCACAUUUCUUGUGUUACUUGCACGAAUUUGGGAAGGCAUUUAUACA
Long non-coding RNA from Dioscorea cayenensis subsp. rotundata (Guinea yam), 343 nucleotides. RefSeq lists it as uncharacterized. Lineage: Eukaryota; Viridiplantae; Streptophyta; Magnoliopsida; Dioscoreales; Dioscoreaceae. The transcript is spliced from 4 exons. The record is from RefSeq and is a predicted model, not a curated record.